UAGUCUACGCCGUAAACGAUGGAUACUAGUUGUUUGGCCUUCGGGCUGAGUGACUAAGCGAAAGUGAUAAGUAUCCCACCUGGGGAGUACGUUCGCAAGAAUGAAACUCAAAGGAAUUGACGGGGGCCCGCACAAGCGGUGGAGCAUGUGGUUUAAUUCGAUGAUACGCGAGGAACCUUACCAGGGCUUAAAUGUAGUCUGACAGCUUUAGAGAUAGAGCUUUCUUCGGACAGAUUACAAGGUGCUGCAUGGUUGUCGUCAGCUCGUGCCGUGAGGUGUCAGGUUAAGUCCUAUAACGAGCGCAACCCCUGUGGUUAGUUGCCAGCGAGUAAUGUCGGGAACUCUAGCCAGACUGCCCGUGCAAACGGUGAGGAAGGUGGGGAUGACGUCAAAUCAUCACGGCCCUUACGUCCUGGGCUACACACGUGCUACAAUGGUUGGUACAGAGAGUCGCUAUCUGGAGACAGAACGCUAAUCUCAAAAACCAAUCUCAGUUCGGAUUG
RNAcentral lists this ribosomal RNA (503 nucleotides) under uncultured bacterium. RNAcentral's name for it is "bacterial SSU rRNA". It matches the Rfam family "Bacterial small subunit ribosomal RNA", at positions 791 to 1300 of the family's 1533-position model. The record is from RNAcentral.